ACGUAGGGGGCGAGCGUUGUCCGGAUUUAUUGGGCGUAAAGGGCGUGUAGGCGGUCUGUUAAGUCAGAGGUGAAAAUCCAGGGCUCAACCCUGGAACUGCCUCUGAAACUGGUGGACUUGAGUGCUCUAGAGGGCAGUGGAAUUCCCGGUGUAGCAGUGAAAUGCGUAGAGAUCGGGAGGAACACCAGUGGCGAAGGCGACUGUCUGGGGAGCAACUGACGCUGAGGCGCGAAAGCUGGGGGAGCAAACGGGA
RNAcentral lists this ribosomal RNA (253 nucleotides) under uncultured prokaryote. Its description in RNAcentral is "partial 16S ribosomal RNA". It matches the Rfam family "Bacterial small subunit ribosomal RNA", at positions 525 to 777 of the family's 1533-position model. The record is from RNAcentral.